RNAcentral lists this long non-coding RNA (5890 nucleotides) under Nicotiana tabacum (common tobacco). Its description in RNAcentral is "long non-coding RNA (NTAB_LNC013265)". The record is from RNAcentral. Lineage: Eukaryota; Viridiplantae; Streptophyta; Magnoliopsida; Solanales; Solanaceae.
AUCUCAUAACACCCUUCAUGGGUGAAACCUUCAACAGAACCUUCUCACCAACCAUGUAGGACACAUCUCGAACCUUCUUGUCAGCAUAACUCUUUUGUAUCGAUUGUGCUGUACGAAACCUCUCCUAAAUCACCUUCACCUUUUCUAAAACAUCCUGCACCAAGUCUGUCCCUAAUAGCCUAGCCUCACCCGGUUCAACAUGACUGAGCAUGAAAACAGUGGGAAAUAACAUGACUGAGAUCAAGUAAUAACUCAAAACAGUGAGGAAUAUCUAUAAAUAGCCCCGAAGGGGUCAAAUAGUUGGCUCUAGGCCUAAAUAUGGCAUUCAACCCAAAUAAUGAUGAUAGAAAACAGUUUUCAAUCAAAUACGAGGUAAAAUCAUCAAUCAGGGCGGACCCAAUCACAAUCCCCAAUAGUGCACAACCUCAUACUCGCCAUCAAGCGUGUGUCUCACCUCAAUAUAGCACUACGAUGUGCAAUCCGGAGUUUCAAACCCUCAAAACAUCAUUUACAAUCAUUACUCAUCUUGAACCGGCUAAAUCUCUAGCUCGCAACGCCUUCGCCCCUCGAAUCGGCCUCCACGCGCGUCAAAUCUAUCCAAAAUCAGAAGGAGGAUGUCAAACUAUGCUAAGGGAACAAAGCCCAAGUGAAAACAAUCAAUAAAGGGCAUAAAUCCCGAAAUUAGCAAAAUCCGAGCCCCGGGCCCACUUCUCGAUACUCAGAAAUUUUCACUUUAUUAGAUUCCUUAUCUCUCCACGAGUUCAUACAUGUCAAAAGUUCUCAAAUCCGACCCCAAAUGGUCCUUCAAAUCCCCAAUCAAAAGUCCAAUUUCUCAAGCCCUAGUUCUUCAAUUUUAGGCUUAGUUUUCAUGAUUUUCUAGGUAGAUUUCACAAUAGAAUCGAGUUCUAAGUCCAAAAUUCUUACCUCCAAACGUUUCCCCUUGAAUUCCUCUUUAAUCUCCUUCAAAAAGCUCUAAAAACGAUCAAUUAUGGAGGAAAAUAGAGCCACAUUCGCGGACAAGACGCCUUUUAAACAUUCUGCCCAGGCCUGGAAAUCCUUCUUCGCGAACGCGGUCAAAGCCUCGCGUUCGCGAAGAACAAACUUAUUUUGACCAAAUUUCCUUCUAUGCGAUCGCGACAAAGCCCUCGUGAAUGCGAUGCUUCACCCAGGCGACCCUUCACGAAUGCGCUCUAUCUCUCGCGAACGCGAAGAUCAACUUGACUUCUAACCCAGCUGACCAAGUUCUUCUACGCGAUCGCGAACACCUUCUCGCGAAUGCGAUGCACAGCCUCGCAGCCCUUCGCGAAUGUGUCACCUGCCUCACGAAGGCGAAGGCUAAACCUUCACCUCCCCCAGUAGACUCUUCGCGAACGCGAAGACCAAAAAUGUCUGCAACUGCUGGAACUGUUUUUCUGCAAUUUUCCAAACUCCAAAAUGGUCCGAUUGACCACCCGAAACUCACCUGAGGCCCCCGGGACCUCAACCAAAAGCACCAACAUAUCCUAAAAACUAUUCAAACUUGUUCCAAUCAUCAAAAUACCUCAAACAAUAUCAAAUCACCCAAAACACAUCGGAUUCAAGCCUAAGUUUCUAAAAUCUUCCGAAAUAUGCUUUUGAUUAAGAACCCAACCAAACCACGUCCGAAUGAGCUGAAAUUUUUCACACACAUCCCAAAUUACAUAACAAAGUUACUGCAACUCUCAGAAUUCCAUUCUGACCUCUAUAUAAAAAUCUUGCCUAUCAACCGGAAAUCGCCAAAAUAUCAACUUCGCCAUUCAAGCCUAAAUCUACUACGGACCUCCAAAAUUCAUUAUGAUUACACUCCUAAGCCAAUAAUCACCUCCCGAAGCUAACCGAACCAUGAGAACUCACAUCCAAGCCCUCUAUCAUAUAAGUCAACAUCCAGUUGACUUUUUCAACUUAAACUCACUCUAAAGAGACUAAGUGUCUCAAACCUUGCCAAAUCCUUUUCGAACUCGAUCCGACCAACCCGAUACCACAUAACAUGGAUAAUUAAAGCAUAGGAAAGCAAAAAUUGGGAAAACGGAGCGGCAACUCAUGAGACGACUGGCCAGGUCGUCACAGAAGGAGAAAUUGUAGGAGAUGGUGUUAAAUACAUGACUCUGCGGCUCUAUACAAAUAUCAUACUUGUUCUUCUCAAAUUUAAUAAGUAAAUUAUAGGUAUAACUAUAUAAUUCAUUCGCACCAACGCACAUCAUCAGUGAUAAAUAAUAAAAAUAAGUAUAAUGCAGAAAUAUAGAAAAGCCAGCCUACCCGACAAAAUGAUCGCUAAACUCUAUGUUGGAGCGUUUCAACUACCAAUUGGUUUAGUAAUUCUAAAGAUUAAUACGUAGCAGAGCAUGCCAAAUAUUACUAUGCGAACCUUUGCAAAAUUUAUAACUAAACUAAAUCAGCUCUUUUAGUAAUCCAUGUUGUCAAAUCUUGAAUGAAGUCAAUUGUUUGUCUAAACUUAAUGUUUUGAAUUUAGUAUACUAUUCAACUUAGCAUAUGAUUUUAGAGUUACUUCUUGUAUUUUGUUGUCAAGAAAGCUGAAGCUUUUGUUCAUUAUUUCAACCGGUAGAUACUGUACAGAGCUAUUUUCAGAACUAAAUAUCCUCACACAUAAGAAGUCUUCUCACUGUUUCCUAGAACUCUAGUCUGUAAUUGUCGUACUUGAAGAAAAACUAUCACAAUAGUUCAAGCUAUUGUUUUUUCCUUAUUCUCUUUGUUGGUACUUUUUGUGAACUUUAACACAAAAAUUAAGUAGCCAAAUCUGCUUUCAAAAUCUGUUAGGCAAAAGAAAUCGAAAAAAUGUGGUAUCCUAAACAAACAAAUAGUAAGACAGUAAUCCUGCAUGUGGAGCUUAGAAGUUAAAAGUAAUGCAGAGUUUGAUUUAUAACUAGUUGAACUAAACUUACAUCAUAACAGUGAAAGAUAAUAGCAGCAACAUCUAGAAAGCAGAAGUAGAUUCAACCGCAUUCUGAAAUAGCAGCAAGAAGUGGCUUAAUUGCAUACCUUUCACCAUAAGGUGUCUUUGAGGUUCAAAGAGAAUGUGCGAGUUGUUGAGAAUGCAUAUGCAACAUAUUAUCUAAGAUAAAUUAAGACUAAAGUAAACUCAAUUUUAGUGAAAAAACUUUCAAGGCUCAAACCAGUCUCUUAAGCUACCAAAUAGGUUGGCAAUCAUAGUCAUAGAGGACGACAUCAAUACCCAAUAAGACCAAUACUUCGGACCCUUCUUGGGAAAAUCUCAAAAAAUUAUUGGAGAUUAUGCUUGUAACUGACAUACCUCUUUAAAAAGAUAUUUGUGCUCUCACCAUAUAAAGAAACAUGUCCACAUGUUGAACUGACCGGCCAUAUUGUCAAGUAUACAUGAGCUUCAUAUAUCAAAUGUAAUUUAUAUCCAAUCAUAUUGCUACCCACUAUUUACCGUAUAAUGAUAAUCAAAUUCAUUAUGAUAUAAGUAAUAUUGUCUUCCUUAAUAAUUAUAAUCAUAACCAAAUCAAAUGUUCAGAAUAAAAACACAGAAGAGGUAUUAAACAUGAGAACAUUUCAUUUAACAAACUACACAACAAUAAAAGUUUGGAUAGAAUUUUUCAUGAAUAAUUAUGAAGAGCCCAAAUUGAUAAGAUUUCAGCAAGCAUUGGUCCAAACUUUGAUGCGCAAGUUCAAACUAAAUGUUCAUGUGAUGUUAAAUCUAUUUCAUAAUACCUGAUUUUCCUCUAUUCUCAUCAUUCUCUCACACAAUCUGGCAAAUAAAGUAAUGAUUAUUAUAGAAUACUUAUACUGCAUAUAUUUCUCAAAGAACUUGGUGCUUAGCAAAUUUUGCAAGUUUUUAAUCAAGUUUGCUCUUUUAAGCCUAAACCAACUCUGAAGAUACAGUUAAUUUAAUAACACAAAUCUACCUAAAUUGCUCAGAAUAAGAACAACAUUAUAACUUUGAAGAUGUAUUGGCUGAUUUAGUAAUAAAUUGAGCUGACAGAAAGAUGUCGUAUGCUUGAUUCAGCUUUGAUUUCUUAUAAUUUCACUAAGAGAGCCUCUUUUAAUUAGCUUGCAUCACUCUAUAUAAUUUUCUGUCGCCUAGCCUUUUUAUCAGCAUGUACUUUUCGCAUGGUUUGAUCAUUUGUAUCAUUUCAGCAGCCCUUUUCUAUUCUCUGAACUUAGCUAUCGCAACCAAAUCUAAUAGUGAGAAAAUUAUAUGUACUAAUAAAUCAUAUCUAUAUCUAUGUACAUAAUCUAUCCUCUAUUUCUAAAAGUUUAUAACGUAGAAUUUUGAAAUUAGUGUUUGGAUAUUUAGAAUUUUCUGAUGAAAUUGACGUAGCACAGUCAACCAAAGAUUCUGACCAAGUUAAAUCUGCUGAAUCAACAUAGAUAUCUACAAUCCACAAUCUAAAUUAAACAGAGAGAAGGGCAACUUUUGAGAUGAAAAAGAGGUAGACACAGAACAUGCAGGAAACAAAGAGAAGAGAGAAAAUUCACCUUUGUUUCUGAUGAAGAGCUCCAAGUUGUCUCUUUCUUGCUGUCCUACACUCUUCUUCUUGAUGCUCUAAACCCAAAAGGUCAGAUCAGAUUAAAAAAACAAACACUUUAAGAUAGAUGGAACAAUAUUAUACAAUGAGGGAAAAAAGAUAUCAUGCAUACAAAUCAAGAGGAAAAGAACAAAUUUUUGUCAAACUUUCGAAUAGGAGCAAACCAGUGAAUUUGGAAAAGUAUCAUGGCUGAAGAAAAUCGAAAGAAAAAAGAGUAAGAGCUACAAAACUAUGGUGGUGGCUGUAGAAAUAAAUGUGGUGUAUCUCUUUGUAGAUAUAAUGAAUAAUAUGCCCUUGUUUUGAAAUUUAUUGACGUGAAGCACACACAUCGAAACUAAAGUUGCCAUAAAAUAUAAGAGUAACACAAAGUGAUAGUACACAACUUUCUACAUUCAAAAGUAAUCUAUAUGCUUUUUAUCUUCUCGUUACCAAAUCAACCACAAAGCUACAGUGAAAAUAUCCCAUCUCCCACCAUCAAAUGAAAAAAAUGAUAAAAAGAAAAGUGAAUCUGUCCGAGUCUUUCAAAGAAUAGGGAGGGCAUAGAAGGAUAAUCUUACCUUGAUAAAAUCCAUCAACAAAGCAUUUUCCCAAAAAGUCAGACCAACAGAAGUCAAAUCAAAAAUAAUAAAAGAGUGAAAGAAUGAGAAAAAGAAUGCUCCAGAAAACUAACAAUUGUUACCUUGCCCAAAACUAAAGCUUCAACAUAGGAGGAGCAUUUCUUUACCGAGCUUACUAUGAAUGCUAAAAAUAUGAGUAAUUUGUUACCUGCAAAUCAAACUAAAUGCAAGAUAGAGCUGAGCUAAAACCCAACAAUUGAAGCCUUUCUGCAGAUGGUGCAGAAACUCAAAUCUCGUUCUUGUUAUUUAGACAGAGAUAAACAAAAUCAGUAGUAGUUUACCGUGACAGAACCACGAAAGAGCAAAAGAGAUGAGAUGAAAUUGAAGAAAAAGAAACAUUGGAAGAGAACUGGAGAAGAUACAAAACUCCAAACUUUAUUAAGCAAUGUGAGGCUAUACCCAAAAUUUUCUUCUUCUUAAGUAGGCUUAUCAAUCAGAUCCGAGUCAGUAUUGGGUUGAGAUGAAAAAGCAUUUAGACUCUAAAAAAGAAAAGAUCAACAAUGGGAAACUAUUAAGCUUCUGGUAAAAGGGAAAAAGAGAGAUAAAGCGAGAUACAAAGGAUGAAAUUUGAGGUUGAAGAUGAAUGAAUUCUACAGCCACUGAAUAGCAAAACUAAAAACGAUGGAGAGAAAUCUAAAAGAAAAAAAUUAAGGAAAAAGAAGAAGAUAUAUGCAAAAUUAAUUGCAGCAAGAACACAAACAGAUCUUGAGAGCACUGGGGCUGAAGAUGGGAAAAGGAUGCGGUGGC